This 370-nucleotide ribosomal RNA is filed under the name Quercus suber. Lineage: Eukaryota; Viridiplantae; Streptophyta; Magnoliopsida; Fagales; Fagaceae. The record is from RNAcentral.
CUCCUGGGAAGUCCUCGUGUUGCACCCCUCUCUUUCUCUUCGCAUUUUUUUUGUUAGGAUUAUCGUUUACGGCGGUCAAGCACGCUACCUUUGUAUGCACCCUUUCAUCUUCUUCACAUUUUUUUUGUUGGGCUUAUCAUUUACAUCGGUCCAGGAUGCUCAAUUUCUUAGCUUAGCCUGCCCCUGGCCAAAAAUAGGAGCCGCUAAUCUCGUUUUGGGUGCUAAAGCGUCGCGACGACUUCGAAAUCCACGGAAGCCCCUCUGGUUGCACCUUUCCAGCAUUAAAGUGCAUCGUUGCAUUGGAUCCUUUUAUAAGAAUUAAACGCGCUUAUGCUGAUGGGUGCAAUCAUGCCAACUCUAAUGCACCGGA